GUCGAGGGGCAUCAGGAAGAAAGCUUGCUUUCUUUGCUGGCGACCGGCGCACGGGUGAGUAACACGUAUCCACCUGCCCUUUACUCGGGGAUAGCCUUUCGAAAGAAAGAUUAAUACCCGAUGGCAUAAUGAUUCCGCAUGGUUUCAUUAUUAAAGGAUUCCGGUAAAGGAUGGGGAUGCGUUCCAUUAGGUUGUUGGUGAGGUAACGGCUCACCAAGCCUUCGAUGGAUAGGGGUUCUGAGAGGAAGGUCCCCCACAUUGGAACUGAGACACGGUCCAAACUCCUACGGGAGGCAGCAGUGAGGAAUAUUGGUCAAUGGGCGGUAGCCUGAACCAGCCAAGUAGCGUGAAGGAUGAAGGCUCUAUGGGUCGUAAACUUCUUUUAUAUAAGAAUAAAGUGCAGUAUGUAUACUGUUUUGUAUGUAUUAUAUGAAUAAGGAUCGGCUAACUCCGUGCCAGCAGCCGCGGUAAUACGGAGGAUCCGAGCGUUAUCCGGAUUUAUUGGGUUUAAAGGGAGCGUAGGUGGACUGGUAAGUCAGUUGUGAAAGUUUGCGGCUCAACCGUAAAAUUGCAGUUGAUACUGUCAGUCUUGAGUACAGUAGAGGUGGGCGGAAUUCGUGGUGUAGCGGUGAAAUGCUUAGAUAUCACGAAGAACUCCGAUUGCGAAGGCAGCUCACUGGACUGCAACUGACACUGAUGCUCGAAAGUGUGGGUAUCAAACAGGAUUAGAUACCCUGGUAGUCCACACAGUAAACGAUGAAUACUCGCUGUUUGCGAUAUACAGUAAGCGGCCAAGCGAAAGCAUUAAGUAUUCCACCUGGGGAGUACGCCGGCAACGGUGAAACUCAAAGGAAUUGACGGGGGCCCGCACAAGCGGAGGAACAUGUGGUUUAAUUCGAUGAUACGCGAGGAACCUUACCCGGGCUUAAAUUGCAGUGGAAUGAUGUGGAAACAUGUCAGUGAGCAAUCACCGCUGUGAAGGUGCUGCAUGGUUGUCGUCAGCUCGUGCCGUGAGGUGUCGGCUUAAGUGCCAUAACGAGCGCAACCCUUAUCUUCAGUUACUAACAGGUCAUGCUGAGGACUCUGGAGAGACUGCCGUCGUAAGAUGUGAGGAAGGUGGGGAUGACGUCAAAUCAGCACGGCCCUUACGUCCGGGGCUACACACGUGUUACAAUGGGGGGUACAGAAGGCAGCUAGCGGGUGACCGUAUGCUAAUCCCAAAAUCCUCUCUCAGUUCGGAUCGAAGUCUGCAACCCGACUUCGUGAAGCUGGAUUCGCUAGUAAUCGCGCAUCAGCCACGGCGCGGUGAAUACGUUCCCGGGCCUUGUACACACCGCCCGUCAAGCCAUGGGAGCCGGGGGUACCUGAAGUACGUAACCGCAAGGAUCGUCCUAG
This 1395-nucleotide ribosomal RNA is filed under the name Bacteroides fragilis. Its description in RNAcentral is "bacterial SSU rRNA". It matches the Rfam family "Bacterial small subunit ribosomal RNA". Lineage: Bacteria; Pseudomonadati; Bacteroidota; Bacteroidia; Bacteroidales; Bacteroidaceae. The record is from RNAcentral.